GACAGAGGGUGCAAACGUUGCUCGGAAUCACUGGGCGUAGAGGGCGUGUAGGCGGGAAGGAAAGUCGGGCGUGAAAUCCCUGGGCUCAACCCAGGAACUGCACUCGAAACUUCUUUUCUUGAGUGCCGGAGAGGAAAGCGGAAUUCCUGGUGUAGAGGUGAAAUUCGUAGAUAUCAGGAGGAACACCAGUGGCGAAGGCGGCUUUCUGGACGGUAACUGACGCUGAGACGCGAAAGCGUGGGGAGCAAACAGG
This 253-nucleotide ribosomal RNA is filed under the name uncultured bacterium. RNAcentral's name for it is "partial 16S ribosomal RNA". It matches the Rfam family "Bacterial small subunit ribosomal RNA", at positions 524 to 776 of the family's 1533-position model. The record is from RNAcentral.